This 459-nucleotide ribosomal RNA is filed under the name uncultured bacterium. Its description in RNAcentral is "partial 16S ribosomal RNA". It matches the Rfam family "Bacterial small subunit ribosomal RNA", at positions 338 to 795 of the family's 1533-position model. The record is from RNAcentral.
CCUACGGGGGGCAGCAGUGAGGAAUAUUGGUCAAUGGGAGAGAGCCUGAACCAGCCAAGCCGCGUGAGGGAAGACGGCCCUAUGGGUGGUAAACCUCUUUUGUCGGAGAACAAAACCCGGGACGUGUCCCGGACUGCGUGUAUCCGAAGAAAAAGCAUCGGCUAACUUCGUGCCAGCAGCCGCGGUAAUACGGAGGAUGCGAGCGUUAUCCGGAUUUAUUGGGUUUAAGGGGUGCGAAGGCGGCCUGUUAAGUCAGCGGUAAAAGCACGGGGCUCAACCCCGGCGAGCCGUUGAAACUGGCGGGCUGGAGUUGGAGAGAAGGACGCGGAAUGCGCGGUGUAGCGGUGAAAUGCUUAGAUAUCGCGCAGAACCCCGAUUGCGAAGGCAGCGUACCGGCUCCACACUGACGCUGAGGCACGAAAGCGUGGGUAUCGAACAGGAUUAGAUACCCCUGUAGUC